GCGGGAGUGGCGAAAUUGGUAGACGCGCAGGAUUUAGGUUCCUGUAUUGGAAACAAUGUGGAGGUUCAAGUCCUCUCUCCCGCACCA
Molecule: transfer RNA, 87 nt
Filed under: Nannocystaceae bacterium
Lineage: Bacteria; Pseudomonadati; Myxococcota; Nannocystales; Nannocystaceae
Description: tRNA-Leu
Rfam family: tRNA
About the family: Transfer RNA (tRNA) molecules are approximately 80 nucleotides in length.
Source: RNAcentral